Long non-coding RNA from Leguminivora glycinivorella, 454 nucleotides. RefSeq lists it as uncharacterized. Lineage: Eukaryota; Metazoa; Arthropoda; Insecta; Lepidoptera; Tortricidae. The transcript is spliced from 3 exons. The record is from RefSeq and is a predicted model, not a curated record.
GGCUAUGCCUCAAUUGAUAAAGUGAACUAAUUGCCUACUUCAAAAGCAGUUUUGCAUGAAAGUAUAUGAAAUGAAUAACCAUCCUCGAAGAACCUCAACUAGCUGUCGGCAACAUGCAGGUUGACCGAGGAAUUUGUCGGUGUGUCCUUUAUGGACUGUACUCCGUCUUUGCACUAUCGUCAAUUUUACUCGGGAGUCACCGCUUCAGCCCGGUCCUUCUUUCAUAUAUCUACUGUCUUCAUAUAGAUGAAAGGUACUAUGUUAUAUUAUAAUAACACAUUCUAAUUAUUAAAUUUUAAAAGUGAGCAGCUCAUGGCCUUAAUAUUAUAUCUAGAAAAUUUAAGCGAAGUAUGCAAGACGGCGAGGCAUGAGCUACCGGGUAAAAAUCAAACUUAACUGACUCAUCCUCAUUUUAUUGGCUAAGCAAACUUCUUACUAACUUAUUUAUGUACUA